This is an RNA transcript of Temnothorax curvispinosus, 1174 nucleotides long. RefSeq lists it as uncharacterized. The transcript is spliced from 3 exons. The record is from RefSeq and is a predicted model, not a curated record. Lineage: Eukaryota; Metazoa; Arthropoda; Insecta; Hymenoptera; Formicidae.
UUCAUGUUAAUUCUUUCACAAUUAUGAUCAAUGUUUGAUAAUAUCGAACACUUUAGAAACAUAAAACAUUAUUCUUUGAGCGAAUAUAACGUCUGAUCAUGGCCAUCAUUUUAUUCUCUUUUAUCACUGACCACACUCGUUCUCUCUCUCUGAGAUCACCAAUCGCCUUUAAAUCCACUCAUAUCCAUGUGUCGAGCGAAGCUGAACUCGACGGCGUAAAGCAAUAUCUUAAGACGUUGAUGACAUCGUCAUCGUAUCCUGCAUUUUUCAUGCCGACUUCUAACCUCCCACUUUCAACAUAAAAACGGAGCGAAUGUAUAUUUCCAUCGGCGUCACCUCAAAACUGUGCACUCAUAUCUUGGAAAGACUUUUUAAAAUCGCGAUUACAAAAAUUUAGUAUUCUUUAAUAAAUUCUGUACAUUUAUUUGGGACAAUAAAAGAUAAACUGUGGCGAAGUAAGGAUAUGGGAUGUUAAAAAUAAUAACGCUACCCACGCGAUAGCUCGACGAAAAUCCUGUCGGCGCCCAUGUGCGUGUGCCCCACUACCGUUUCUACGAUUGUGUCAGUCUGAUUUCUUGUCGGUGUCGGCAUCGCCACUCGUGGGAUGCUGCCAACUAGCGAGGUUCGCCGUCACGCACGGCCUCAAGAGUGCCGACCAUCAGGGACUGGGAUAUUUCUAGUCUGGCUCCUCUCGCGGACUUAGUAUCCGAGUAUCGUGUGUGCAUAGUGCAUCUACGCGUCGCGGCCGAGUGUUUCGCCCCGAUAUAUAUUUAAUUCGCGUUCGUUUUAAUCCUGACGAGCGUCGGGUGUCGUGUCGAUUCGGUGACGAAUGUGAGAGCCGGUGAUAUGGCCGAGAGAAAAGCCAUAACGCCGAGACGGAAACGGCUCAACGACCCUUCUGGGUCAAGGCCGUCGGAAAGGUCGAAUGUACCGAAGGAACCGGCGAGACCGCCGCGAACGAGGACGCAGCAGACCGUAUAUGUGACGCCGAUUAACAAUUCCGAUUUCGGAAAUGGCAUGCAACGUAGCGUGUUUGUGGAAGCGCAGCAGAAGCCGACCGAGAAGGCCCCGAUGACGACCCUCGACGAGAACGUGAACCGUGUACCACGACAACAGCAUAAGACAACCGAAAAUAUGGGUGAGUUGCUUUUCUAAGUCGGCUUAAGUAUUUGUC